UCAAAAAUCACCCACAAUAACCUGGAAAAUGCUGCGUUUACUUCAGGAUAUAUCCGACUUUUUCUUCGAGUACUAUCGCUUCUUUUGGCUGGUCUCCAUACUGGCGAUACCCUAUCUCUGCUACCGAUCCAAACAGAACGAUUUCAAUAUGCUGGAUUGCAUUAUAAUGUAUGCUUCUGUGUUUAUCGGAGCCUUUGGACUGAUUCAGGACGAAAUAAAUGGUCGUCCUCGCUAGCCCAAGCUACUAAAACAAACCUGAUGCAAAAACCUGUUCGGAAGCUAGAAACUCUUUAAACACUGACCGAAAAAAUUAAAUUAAUGACUUGCCCUAAAGAGCCGCUUGAUUGAUGGGUAUUACGUGUAUAUAUACAUGUUUUUUUUUCUGUUUUAAAACUUUUUGCCGGCGAGAUUGUUGGCGAGGCCGAAACCAGCCAAUCCGACGAGGCAGAAAGUCAAGCUCCACACGAUUCCCUGCCACAUUUUAGCCAGAUAUAUAUAUAUAUAUGAAUAUACUAUAUGCACUUCCACUGAGAUGCUUCCACGAUCUUUGGCUAAUUAUGUAUUAAAAUAUGCAGUUGCAUGGACGGGCACACGUUUUUGUAUGUUUCGUUUUUUAUGCACUUUUGUUUGGC
Drosophila eugracilis is the source of this 632-nucleotide long non-coding RNA. RefSeq lists it as uncharacterized. Lineage: Eukaryota; Metazoa; Arthropoda; Insecta; Diptera; Drosophilidae. The record is from RefSeq and is a predicted model, not a curated record. The transcript is spliced from 2 exons.